GAUAAACGCUGGCGGCGCACAUAAGACAUGCAAGUCGAACGGACUUAACUUCAUUCUUUACGAUUGAAGAGCGGUUAGUGGCGGACUGGUGAGUAACACGUAAGCAACCUGCCUAUCAGAGGGGAAUAACAGUGAGAAAUCAUUGCUAAUACCGCAUAAGCUGAUAAUAUCGCAUGAUAUAGUCAGAAAAGGAGCAAUCCGCUGAUAGAUGGGCUUGCGUCUGAUUAGCUAGUUGGUGGGGUAACGGCCUACCAAGUCGACGAUCAGUAGCCGACCUGAGAGGGUGAUCGGCCACAUUGGGACUGAGACACGGCCCAAACUCCUACGGGAGGCAGCAGUGGGGAAUAUUGGGCAAUGGGGGAAACCCUGACCCAGCAACGCCGCGUGGAGGAAGAAGGUUUUCGGAUCGUAAACUCCUGUCCUCAGGGAAGAGCAGAAGACGGUACCUGAGGAGGAAGCCCCCGGGCUAACUACGUGCCAGCAGCCGC
Molecule: ribosomal RNA, 488 nt
Filed under: uncultured bacterium
Lineage: Bacteria
Description: bacterial SSU rRNA
Rfam family: Bacterial small subunit ribosomal RNA
Source: RNAcentral